UGGGGAAUAUUGCACAAUGGGCGCAAGCCUGAUGCAGCCAUGCCGCGUGUGUGAAGAAGGCCUUCGGGUUGUAAAGCACUUUCAGCGGGGAGGAAGGCGGUGAGGUUAAUAACCUCACCGAUUGACGUUACCCGCAGAAGAAGCACCGGCUAACUCCGUGCCAGCAGCCGCGGUAAUACGGAGGGUGCAAGCGUUAAUCGGAAUUACUGGGCGUAAAGCGCACGCAGGCGGUCUGUCAAGUCGGAUGUGAAAUCCCCGGGCUCAACCUGGGAACUGCAUUCGAAACUGGCAAGCUUGAGUCUCGUAGAGGGGGGUAGAAUUCCAGGUGUAGCGGUGAAAUGCGUAGAGAUCUGGAGGAAUACCGGUGGCGAAGGCGGCCCCCUGGACGAAGACUGACGCUCAGGUGCGAAAGCGUGGGGAGCAAACAGG
This 429-nucleotide ribosomal RNA is filed under the name Chloroflexota bacterium. RNAcentral's name for it is "Chloroflexi bacterium partial 16S ribosomal RNA". It matches the Rfam family "Bacterial small subunit ribosomal RNA", at positions 355 to 776 of the family's 1533-position model. Lineage: Bacteria; Bacillati; Chloroflexota. The record is from RNAcentral.